UACGGAGGGUGCAAGCGUUAAUCGGAAUUACUGGGCGUAAAGCGCACGCAGGCGGUCUGUCAAGUCGGAUGUGAAAUCCCCGGGCUCAACCUGGGAACUGCAUCCGAAACUGGCAGGCUAGAGUCUUGUAGAGGGGGGUAGAAUUCCAGGUGUAGCGGUGAAAUGCGUAGAGAUCUGGAGGAAUACCGGUGGCGAAGGCGGCCCCCUGGACCAAGACUGACGCUCAGGUGCGAAAGCGUGGGGAGCAAACAGGAUUAGAUACCCUGGUAGUCCACGCCGUAAACGAUGUCGACUUGGAGGUUGUGGCCUUGUGGCGUGGCUGCCGGAGCUAACGCGUUAAGUCGACCGCCUGGGGAGUACGGCCGCAAGGUUGAA
This 375-nucleotide ribosomal RNA is filed under the name uncultured bacterium. RNAcentral describes it as "bacterial SSU rRNA". It matches the Rfam family "Bacterial small subunit ribosomal RNA", at positions 524 to 898 of the family's 1533-position model. The record is from RNAcentral.